Molecule: ribosomal RNA, 423 nt
Filed under: uncultured bacterium
Lineage: Bacteria
Description: bacterial SSU rRNA
Rfam family: Bacterial small subunit ribosomal RNA
Source: RNAcentral
UGAGGAAUAUUGGUCAAUGGGCGUAAGCCUGAACCAGCCAAGUAGCGUGCAGGAAGACGGCCCUACGGGUUGUAAACUGCUUUUAUGCGGGGAUAAAGUGCAAUACGUGUAUUGCUUUGCAGGUACCGCAUGAAUAAGGACCGGCUAAUUCCGUGCCAGCAGCCGCGGUAAUACGGAAGGUCCGGCGUAUCGAUUAUGGUUAAGGAGCGCAGGCCGCCCUUAAGCGUGUUGUGAAAUGCCGCGGCUCAACCGUGGCACUGCAGCGCGAACUGGGGGGCUUGAGUGCGCCGGAGGUAGGCGGAAUUCGUGGUGUAGCGGUGAAAUGCUUAGAUAUCACGAAGAACUCCGAUUGCGAAGGCAGCCUACCGUAGCGUUACUGACGCUGAGGCUCGAAGGUGCGGGUAUCGAACAGGAUUAGAUACC